RNAcentral lists this ribosomal RNA (178 nucleotides) under uncultured bacterium. Its description in RNAcentral is "partial 16S ribosomal RNA". It matches the Rfam family "Bacterial small subunit ribosomal RNA", at positions 1325 to 1500 of the family's 1533-position model. The record is from RNAcentral.
GCUGGAAUCGCUAGUAAUCGCAGAUCAGCACGCCGCGGUGAAUACGUUCCCGGGCCUUGUACACACCGCCCGUCACACCAUGAGAGUCUGUAACACCCAAAGCCGGUGGGAUAACCUUUAUAGGAGUCAGCCGUCUAAGGUAGGACAGAUGAUUAGGGUGAAGUCGUAACAAGGUAAC